RNAcentral lists this non-coding RNA (143 nucleotides) under Erythranthe guttata (spotted monkey flower). RNAcentral's name for it is "Mimulus guttatus (spotted monkey flower) Eukaryotic small subunit ribosomal RNA". It matches the Rfam family "Eukaryotic small subunit ribosomal RNA", at positions 1185 to 1476 of the family's 1831-position model. The record is from Rfam by way of RNAcentral. Lineage: Eukaryota; Viridiplantae; Streptophyta; Magnoliopsida; Lamiales; Phrymaceae.
GCGGCUUAAUUUGACUCAACACGGGGAAACUUACCAGGUCCAGACAUAGUAAGGAUUGACAGACUGAGAGCUCUUUCUAGAUUCUAUCAAAUGUAAAAAUUUCAUAUAAGGAUCAAAGAGUUACACAAAUUUCAGGGGCAUAC